RNAcentral lists this ribosomal RNA (562 nucleotides) under uncultured bacterium. RNAcentral's name for it is "partial 16S ribosomal RNA". It matches the Rfam family "Bacterial small subunit ribosomal RNA", at positions 355 to 907 of the family's 1533-position model. The record is from RNAcentral.
UGGGGAAUUUUGGACAAUGGGGGCAACCCUGAUCCAGCAAUGCCGCGUGUGUGAAGAAGGCCUUCGGGUUGUAAAGCACUUUUGUCCGGAAAGAAAACGUCGUGGUUAAUACCCGUGGCGGCUGACGGUACCGGAAGAAUAAGCACCGGCUAACUACGUGCCAGCAGCCGCGGUAAUACGUAGGGUGCAAGCGUUAAUCGGAAUUACUGGGCGUAAAGCGUGCGCAGGCGGUCCGCUAAGACAGAUGUGAAAUCCCCGGGCUUAACCUGGGAACUGCAUUUGUGACUGGCGGGCUAGAGUAUGGCAGAGGGGGGUAGAAUUCCACGUGUAGCAGUGAAAUGCGUAGAGAUGUGGAGGAAUACCGAUGGCGAAGGCAGCCCCCUGGGCCAAUACUGACGCUCAUGCACGAAAGCGUGGGGGAGCAAAACAGGAUUCAGAUACCCUGGUAGUCCACGCCCUAAACGAUGUCAACUAGUUGUCGGGUCUUCAUUGACUUGGUAACGUAGCUAACGCGUGAAGUUGACCGCCUGGGGAGUACGGUCGCAAGAUUAAAACUCAAAUG